GACGGAGGAUGCAAGGGUUCUCCGGAAUUAUUGGGCGUAAAGCGUCCGUAGGUGGCGACUUAAGUCUGCUGUUACAGCGUGCAGCUUAACUGCAUAAGGGCAAUGGAAACUGAGGCGCUAGAGUGCGGUAGGGGUAGAGGGAAUUCCCAGUGUAGCGGUGAAAUGCGUAGAUAUUGGGAAGAACACCAGUGGCGAAGGCGCUCUACUGGGCCGUAACUGACACUGAUGGACGAAAGCGAGGGGAGCGAAUGGG
This 253-nucleotide ribosomal RNA is filed under the name uncultured bacterium. Its description in RNAcentral is "partial 16S ribosomal RNA". It matches the Rfam family "Bacterial small subunit ribosomal RNA", at positions 524 to 776 of the family's 1533-position model. The record is from RNAcentral.